UAGUCCUUCUUUUUCCUCCAAGGAUAUUUUACAAAUAAUUCAGUCUAUUAAAGGAGGUUUGCAGCCUCAGCCUUCUCAGAAUACACAUUCGAGCUACAGAAACUUGGAUUAUAAAAAUAUCUUGCCCGAAUUUAAUCCCACUAACAAAAGCCAGCGCAUGGAUGUUUGGUUGAAGAAGGUCAACGAAUGUGCUUCUGUGUAUGGUUGGGAUGACAAGACUAUUGUACAUUUUGCUAUGCAGAAACUGCAAGGACUGGCUAAAACCUGGUACGAGAGUCUAGAUUCGAUUCUCUACAGCUGGAAUGAGUGGCAGACUAAAUUAAUUAAUGCAUUUCCAUGCGAACAGAAUUUUGGUCAGUCCCUGGAGGAUAUGUUGAACCGUAGGUGUAAGUUUAAUGAGUCAAUUGAAAUCUAUUAUUACGAAAAACUGGCGCUUUUAAACCAAUGUGAAAUAACGGGUAAGAAAGCCGUCGAUUGCAUCAUACACGGCAUUAACGAUAGAACUUUGAGGUCUGGUGCCUUAGCAUUGCGUUGUGUUGAGCCUGAUCAACUUUUAAAAUUCUUGUGUAGCAACAACAAAGAAAGUUUAACUCAACAAAUUUCAAAUAAUAACAGCAACUUGAACUCGACAAAUAACGAUAAACCGAACAAUAAAUUCAACUCUAAUGGGCCUUUAAAUCAGUAUAUAAGAUGCUACAAUUGUAAAGAAAUUGGACAUCCCUAUCAGAAAUGCACAAAGCCCUUAGUCCGGUGUAAUAAAUGCAAUAGGGUAGGUCAAUGUCUUGAAAGUUGUUCAGAAUCAGGAACUACGAAUAAACCCAACAACGUUGUACCAACAACAACUACCGUAGCUAUAGACCAUGGAUUCGUUUAGGGGUUUUAGAGGUUGAUGAUGGAACGGACUCUGUGGAUGAUGCAAACGAUGAUGAAAUAGCGUAAUAUCAGAAUGACUUUUGAGUUUUUAUAUGAAACAAGCUUCCGCCCGCGGCUCACCCGCGUAGAGUUCGGUUAUGUCGCGGUUCCAGGAGAACUCUUUAAAAGUCCGGGAUGAAAGUAUUCUAUGUUCUUUCUCAAGGUCAACUCUAUCUCUGCACCAAAUUUUAUUAGAAUCAGUUCAGUGGUUUAGACGUGAAAACGUAACAGAUAGACAGAGUUACUUUCGCACUUAUAAUAUUAAGUAGGGAUUCAUAUUUUUACGUUAUUUCAUCUUUCUACAAAAUGUUAAAAUGUAUUUUAAUUUUAUUACAACAUGUUAUUCUAUUUUUAUUUAAAUGCACUUUUAUGAUUAACAUACCUACUAGUUUUAACUAUAAUUAGUUAAUCCGGUUUACCGUUACUGUAUUUUAUUUAUCUUGUUCCAGGUCGAGGGCGAAAUGGAGUCGAGCCUCGACCUGUCAAGAUGGUUGAAGUCCUUGAAAAUGGAGUUCGAGGCAAAUAUUUGGUUAUUUAAUAAGUCCUUGAAAGUGGAGUCAAGGCAAGCUUAUGGUUAUUUAAGUCCUUGAAAGUGGAGUCAAGGCAAGCUUAUGGUUAUUUAAGUCCUUGAAAGUGGAGUCAAGGCAAGCUUAUGGUUAUUUAAGUCCUUGAAAGUGGAGUCAAGGCAAGCUUAUGGUUAUUUAAGUCCUUGAAAGUGGAGUCAAGGCAAGCUUAUGGUUAUUUAAGUCCUUGAAAGUGGAGUCAAGGCAAGCUUAUGGUUAUUUAAGUCCUUGAAAGUGGAGUCAAGGCAAGCUUAUGGUUAUUUAAGUCCUUGAAAGUGGAGUCAAGGCAAGCUUAUGGUUAUUUAAGUCCUUGAAAGUGGAGUCAAGGCAAGCUUAUGGUUAUUUAAGUCCUUGAAAGUGGAGUCAAGGCAAGCUUAUGGUUAUUUAAGUCCUUGAAAGUGGAGUCGAGGCAAGCUUAUGGUUAUUUAAGUCCUUGAAAGUGGAGUCGAGGCAAGCUUAUGGUUAUUUAAGUCCUUGAAAGUGGAGUCGAGGCAAGUUAAUGGUUUUAAGGUUUAAGUCCUAGACAAAUAGGUUAUUUAGAUUAUUUCUCGAAAAUGGAGUUCGAGACACCUAGUUAAAUACGGUUAAAACGUAAUAAUUGUAUUAAUAUUGUUUUCAAGUUAUUAUUCUUUUUUAGUUGUAAAUUAAAUGAGUUUUUUUUAUGUAUAAUGAUUUAACAAAUUUAAUAGUUGGUUCAUAGUUCUGUUCAAUAUAGUUUUUUUUUUUAUUAGAAUCUUUUUUUUAUUAGAGUUAGUUUAUACGAACGGUGGUAAUUUUGUGUUUGAGUUAGAUAAUAAUACGAAUUUGUGAAACUUGAGAAUAAAUACAAAUUGUAAACUGAA
RNAcentral lists this long non-coding RNA (2317 nucleotides) under Helicoverpa zea (corn earworm). RNAcentral's name for it is "uncharacterized LOC124643343". Lineage: Eukaryota; Metazoa; Arthropoda; Insecta; Lepidoptera; Noctuidae. The record is from RNAcentral.